AUGAACGCUGGCGGCGUGCCUAAUACAUGCAAGUCGAGCGAACGGACGAGAAGCUUGCUUCUCUGAUGUUAGCGGCGGACGGGUGAGUAACACGUGGAUAACCUACCUAUAAGACUGGGAUAACUUCGGGAAACCGGAGCUAAUACCGGAUAAUAUUUUGAACCGCAUGGUUCAAAAGUGAAAGACGGUCUUGCUGUCACUUAUAGAUGGAUCCGCGCUGCAUUAGCUAGUUGGUAAGGUAACGGCUUACCAAGGCAACGAUGCAUAGCCGACCUGAGAGGAUGAUCGGCCACACUGGAACUGAGACACGGUCCAGACUCCUACGGGAGGCAGCAGUAGGGAAUCUUCCGCAAUGGGCGAAAGCCUGACGGAGCAACGCCGCGUGAGUGAUGAAGGUCUUCGGAUCGUAAAACUCUGUUAUUAGGGAAGAACAUAUGUGUAAGUAACUGUGCACAUCUUGACGGUACCUAAUCAGAAAGCCACGGCUAACUACGUG
This 496-nucleotide ribosomal RNA is filed under the name uncultured bacterium. RNAcentral describes it as "partial 16S ribosomal RNA". It matches the Rfam family "Bacterial small subunit ribosomal RNA", at positions 29 to 507 of the family's 1533-position model. The record is from RNAcentral.